This 239-nucleotide long non-coding RNA is filed under the name Carica papaya (papaya). RNAcentral describes it as "long non-coding RNA (CPAP_LNC003336)". The record is from RNAcentral. Lineage: Eukaryota; Viridiplantae; Streptophyta; Magnoliopsida; Brassicales; Caricaceae.
GACAUUGUGUGUGUUUGUCACAUCAUGUGGCAACGCUAAGUGGUAGGCAAUAGCUCCCACUCUAUCCAAUAUUGUAAAAGAUUUAAUAAAUCUAUGACUGAGUUUUCAUUUCUUCCCAAAUCUCAUGAUCCCUUUAAUUGGUGAGAUUUUAAAAAAUACAUGGUCGCUUACUUUGAAUUCUAAAUCUGUUUUUCGAUUGCCAGCAUAAAUUUUCUGCGUACUUUGAGCUGUCAAAAGAU